AAAAAAUACAUUUUAAAAUUGGAAUGAUACAGAGAAGAUUAACACUGCCCCUGUGCAAGGAUGACUUCUAAAUUUGUGAAGACUUCCAUGUUUUC
This is a small nuclear RNA of Equus asinus (donkey), 95 nucleotides long. The record is from Ensembl. NCBI's taxonomy places the organism in Eukaryota, Metazoa, Chordata, Mammalia, Perissodactyla, Equidae.